Molecule: long non-coding RNA, 202 nt
Filed under: Elaeis guineensis (African oil palm)
Lineage: Eukaryota; Viridiplantae; Streptophyta; Magnoliopsida; Arecales; Arecaceae
Description: long non-coding RNA (EGUI_LNC029722)
Source: RNAcentral
GGGGCAGCCCAAGUAGCUCAUCUGAAAAAAUAUCAAAAAAUUUUUGACAAUUGAAAUAUCAUCCAACUCUAUCUUCUCCUUCUAGGCAUCCACUAAGUAGGCCAAAAAUGCCUUGCAUUCUUUCCUUAAAGCCUUCCUUGCAUUCAUAACUGAGAUGAUACUCGAAGAAGGCUUUAACUAUUUAGGUUCCGCGUUAUGAGCU